This is a long non-coding RNA of Triticum aestivum (bread wheat), 1623 nucleotides long. RefSeq lists it as uncharacterized. The record is from RefSeq and is a predicted model, not a curated record. NCBI's taxonomy places the organism in Eukaryota, Viridiplantae, Streptophyta, Magnoliopsida, Poales, Poaceae. The transcript is spliced from 2 exons.
CCCACUAAUUCGCUCAAGACCUCGUAACCCCGAACCAACAUCACGUCUCAGUUGCGAAAAAAAUAUCACGUCUCCAACUCCAACCAUAGCUCUCCCCUCUCCCCCAGCCGCCACAGAACUCCACCCUGUUCCCAUCGCCGCCGCCCGCCGCCCGCCGCUUCUCCUCUCCUCUGCUACCCCAGGCGCGAGGAACCAACCUCCCGAAGCAACCGGAGCGGCAAAGCGGCGGAGGAAUGGAGAGAUGGCGUCUGCGAUGGCGGGGAAAAAGAUGGGGCGGGCGUCCUACAUCCGGAUCAAGCAUGAGGAGGAGCGGCACGAGGCGUCCUGGAAGGAGCCCGAGGGCUGGGUCUUCUCCGCCACCACGCGCACCGAUGUCGCCGCGCGCCUUGGCGAGCUCCGCGACCAGAUCCUCGCCGGUUGCGCCUCCUUCCCGAACUCGCCGCACAGCACUCCGGCUGCUCCUCCGCCCGCCGCGGCGGCGACCUAGGUACGCCUCCACUUGCCCCACUUACGCGCUCUGCAGGCUUUCAUAUAGGGUCUCCGAUCGUGGCGAACCAGAAGCACCAGCCCAGGAAGAGCUCGACAGCGUGGAGGUCCUCCCCAGCCAGUAGUACGUGACCAGCCCGAGAUCCACUGCCGAGCCAAGCACUUCUCCUUUCUUUUUCUUCUUCUGUUACCCAGCCAAAACAAUUUUGUGGAGAACAAUCAUAUCUGGUUAGGAUCCACACAGGAAUCUACAGCACAAAUAAUGGAGGAGCUACUACAAUAGAGGAUGGACCUAUGGUUGCUUCCCAGCUCUUUUCUUCAAAACAAUCUGAGAAAGAGUACAAAGGAAAUUGGAGCAUAUGGAAAAUUGCUCAGGAAUAUCUCCAUCUUAUGCUUAUUGCUUCGAUGUACAGUGACCUAUAAAAGGGUGAAAACAAUCAGUGAGAUACUUCUCUGGAUGUAGAGCUCUCUGACAUACGCCUAAAAGAUAAAAUUAUAUUUUUUACAUUAUUAUUCUCAAUACUAUAGUUGAACAUUCAUUACCUUGUGGUUCGUACUUGGUCCCAGCCUCCCAAGCAUAAAUCUGAAGUUGUUCUGUAUAGGGGAGUGAAUUGUAUGAGAGUGUGUUUCCAGGCUUAAAUCUGAAAUUGUUGUGUAUACUAUAUGUGCAUGCAGUGUGUAUGGUAGAACCAAUCGAUUUGCAGAAGAUAGCAUGAACCGGAAGGGUAAUCGGUGCCGCCACCGGAAGGCUCGGCAGUGCUAAUCGCCGGAACUACACUACCGGCAGUGCCAUCCAAAUCCUCGGAGACGCUCAAGCUACAGGAAUUUGGACCGUCCUGCAAGAAGAAUCAGUUGAGAAGAUUGGACUAUGCUACUUCUCUAAGGCUGAGUAUACACUCUUUGUUGUUAAUUGUAGUGAUAGUUACUAUUAUUGAAUUGCUAAGGUGACAAACUGACAGUUAUUGCUUGAUGAGCUUACUCUUGUUCAUCACAUUGCAUCCCUCUUACACGGGAAUCAUCAAAUGUUCACACAUAUGUAUGUCCUUUAGUUGUCAUUUGCUCUUUUUUAUUUCUUCUUCCCUUUUUUGUGUGGAUAAUCCAAUUUCUUAUGUUGUCAAUGGAUCUUAAACAUCUUCA